GCACCCGGACGCCGUCGAGUUCGCUGCAAGGAGCAAUGGCAAGCAGCAGCAGCGGUGGCAAGUAGAAGCAGUGGGCAGCAGCAGCAGAGGGCAGAAGCGGCAGGCAGAAACGGAGGGCUGCUGCCGUGUCGUGAUUUGGAUGGAAAAUUGGAGACCGUGUCCUCCAACACAAUCAAUGCAGUGCCCGACCCGGAUUUUACUUGCCUGCUAUAAGAAGGAAGGGUUCUCGGUCGGAUUCUCCGUCAGGUUGCCUCCUUGGACCAUAAUCUUCAUCAAAUCCCGUCGAAAAUGUCAUGAAACGUCCAAUGUCGCUGCCGAGUUCGCUGGAGGAAGAAGCGCCGAGUUCGCCGGAGGAACAAAAUCAUCUGUUUAGCCGUCCAAUGUCACCCGCGGCGGCUGCAACAGAGUUUCACGGAAAACAAGCCAGAAUCCGAAAGUGCUCCAUAGUUAGUUCGCCAGAAUUUCGUCGGUCGGUUCUCCGCUUCAAAUAUGUGGACGAAGAGGCUUGAAAUCAUGGUCUUUGGUUAACUCUUAUUGAAAUUAACUCUACUGUUGAGAGAGUCGUUACUGAAAGUAAUCAGGAGUUCAUUGGUGACAUAUUGGUUUUUCUUGCAAUGGUUGCUAAUUCCUACGAGGGCUUACAGGUUAACUCUUGUAAUUUUCUUCUACCAAGCGUGGAUCAGCUCCUGUAGUAGCUAUCUUUAAUUUGCAACAGGUGGUAUAUGGCGAUGAGAUGGGCUUCUUCAGCUCUUUAUUUGGCAGCUCUCUUCUGUAAUCCCCUCUAUGUUGUCAUGAAAUUUCAGCAACACAAAUUUGUGAUCCUGCCAGGUCAAAAAAAUGGUCUUGUGUGGGUUACAAACCAAUGCUUGCUUGCGUACACUCUGGUGCUCCAGUUAAAGAUCCAAAGCUAUAAUGUACUCCUUCCGUUUCCUUUUAGACUGCAUAUAACUUUUGUCUGAAGUCAAGGUAUCUUUAUUUUGACCAAACUUAUAGAAAAAACAUAUCA
Molecule: long non-coding RNA, 1006 nt
Organism: Triticum dicoccoides
Lineage: Eukaryota; Viridiplantae; Streptophyta; Magnoliopsida; Poales; Poaceae
Exons: 3
Source: RefSeq, a predicted model, not a curated record